UAAAUGUGUCCAUGAAUCGUCCUUUGAAUUAAUAAGAUGAUAACCUGUAUUCUCAAGAGUUGAGAAUUUGAGAUACAUAUUAUUGGUGAUUAAUUCAUAAAUGCUCUCAAUCGGAGGAUCAUCAUGGGGACGAUGAUAGAUCCGGUAAGAUUGAUGUGUGUGCCGCUUCCUUUUUGGGAUGACGAAUCUCGAGUCAUCAGUGUGGGGACACUGGAGCGAACAUGCAGGUGGUUGUUGGAGAACAACGGUACUGAGCGUGACCAACUACGAACAGUUACAUGGAUGUCUACUCAUUCGUCAGUAACUGGUUCGAUGUUGCAGUGGUACAACUGAUCCUUAGACCUGCGACACAACGGUCAUUCAAUAUGAGGCUACUGUAGUUUGACUAUGCAACAAACUCUGAUCCUAGCCAUGGGUCUUAGUAGUAUAUGUUGGCUGCGGUCGGUUCAUAUUAGGAAUGGGUGUGUGUUUAUAGGGGAUCUAUCGCUCUCGGUAGAGAGAUAAUUAGUUCUAUGCUAUUUGUACGACAAAGCUCAGAAAUCCUCGGCCGGGGUAAUAUGGUGUAUGGAAAGAUGUUUCCAAGAGUAACCAUAAGAGCUUCUGUCUGAUCAAAUUUGUCAUAUGACGGGUGAUGGGGUUUGACGAAUAUUCCAUGACCUCCACUCAGUUGGAACUAUGCGAUAGAAGGAUUGUAUUGUACGGUAACUGCACCUAGAGGUUCAGUCCGAUAUUCACUUCUGACUGGAUUGCCACUACAUGCUGUUAGGCGUCACUGGUGGAUUGUGGGAACCAAUAGAAAUAAUUAUUAAUAUUUAAUUAUUCUAUUAGGGUGGAAUCAAAAGAGUUUGAGCCAUCGAAAAGAGUUUCGAUGAUGAUGUGGAUGGAGAUCGCAUCAUAUCCCACUAACAGACAGAAUUGAACCUAUUAGGUCACACACAUAAGAAAUCGCGCAUGAUCGAUAUUUAAGAUACGAUAAAAGAAGUUUAUCGGAUGGAUUAAUUAUAAUUACAAUAUAGUUAAAUACUAAAGUUUACUAAUUUAUUAGUAAAAGGACUAAUUUGCAAUUGUUGUAAAUUAGAGGUAUUUAUGUGUAAAAGUUGCAUGGUGUAUUUACUAAUUGUUAGUUGUUAAGGAUUUUAUAGGUUGGCGAAUUUCGUAAAGUUGGUUGGAGUCUUGAAGAGUGGAUCGCAGAAGUUUUGAAGAAAAGAUUCAAAUUGAAGAACUAAGACUCAUUCGGAAAGCUCGACACCUAAGGUAUGAAGAAAAGAUCAUUUGUGGUGAAGAUACCUAGUUAGAAUAAGUUCAGAAGGCUUAGAUGGUUUUAAAACUACUUUACUGAACUUUUCUGUGUUCUGGGACCGGUCUCAGAGUUCAAGAGACCGGUACCCCUAAGGUCCUCACUGCGUGAACCUUGAUGCAACCGGUCCCCUGUGAUGAGAGACCGGUUCCCGAACCUUGGUAUUUCUGUCGCGCAGCAAGGGACCGGUCUCAAGCUUGAGAGACCGGUCCCCGAACGUUGUGAUUUUGGUCACGCAGCGAGGGACCGGUUCCUCACUUGAGAGACCGGUCUCUCACAGACCGGUCUCCUCGAGAAGACCGGUCUCUGAGGACGACACAGGUUUUUAAAAAAGAGUUUUUGCAAUCCUAGUCUACUUCUAAGUCUUCUAAACAUAUAAAUAAGCUAUGUGGGUCAUCUAAAAGUUUAAGGCUUUGAAUUUUUACUGAUUCUAAACCCUAGAAACUUAUUUUUCUUCGUUUCAAUGCUUUGAUUCACAUAACGAGUUUCCAACAAUCAACAAUCGGCUUGAUUCUUCGUUUUUACUCGAUAACCCAUACGAGAAUCAAGUAGAUGUUUGAUUAAAGGUGAACCCUCAUAGCUUAUGGUAUUAAAAGGUUAAAUCAUCACAAAUCUUCGAUUCUACAAGCUCCGGAAGGAGGUUCGACGCGUGGAUCUCGCGUGAAGCCGAGGAUUCGGUGGACGCUUCGAGGAAUUGAGGCGUUGACGCUGCGAGGAGUUGCAGCAAGGUCGAUUGGUGGAUUCCUAUCGAUCGAGGACCGGCAAAGAUCACCAUCAACAAGAAAUCGGUAAAUUGAGUCGUGUGUUUUUGUCGAAAUCACUUGUACUCAAGUUUUCUUAGUGGAUUUUCUUUGCGUGAUCGGUCCCGUGGGUUUUUCACUCCGAAUUGGAGUUUUCCCACGUUAAAUUCUCGGUGUGCUGUUUUAUUUUCCGCUACUUUGUUUUAUUUGCAUCGAGAUUUUCGAGUUUGCCGUUUUUACACCUAUUCACCCCCCUCUAGGUGUUACUUACCUUUUAGAUCCUCGGGAUCCAUAUCUUACAAGUGGUAUCAGAGCGGGUAUAGGUUGUAAUUCAUGGCUGAGGGCGGUAACAUCAAUCGACCCCCGCUCUUCGAUGGCACUAACUAUGCUUAUUGGAAAGUCCGUAUGAGGGCGUUUCUUAUUGCUAUCGACGAGCGGGUUUGGCAAGCCAUUGAAUUCGGAUGGAAAAAUCCUACCGAAGUUGUCGAGAAUGUUACCGUGCCGAAACCUAGGAAUAAAUGGACGAAAGAGGAAAAUGAACUAUCUUCGUUCAACGGGAAAGGUAUCAAUGCUUUAUUCAAUGCUUUAAACCAAACUGAAUUUUCUCGCGUCUCGGCGUGCGAAACCGCCAAAGAGAUUUGGGACACUUUGCGAGUUACACACGAGGGUACAAGUUUGGUUAAGAUUCAAAAAUUGCAAAUGCUUACUAGCAGAUUUGAUUCCAUUCGUAUGGAAGAACAUGAAUCUUUUACCGAGUACUAUACUCGUUUGCAAGACAUUGUAAACACGUGUGCUAACUUGGGCGAGAAAAUUCCCGAUUCCAAAAUUGUUCGAAAAAUUUUGAGAACCCUUCCCGAACGAUUCCGUCCUAAGGUUGCAGCUAUUGAAACGGUCAAACAUCCUGAUGAACUCAAGGUAGAAGAAUUAGUAGGUGCUCUUCAAACUUAUGAAAUGACUUUUCCUUCUAAUUCGUCUUCUUCUAAGUCGUUUUCUAAAACCUCAGGGAUGGCUCUAAAAUCAACAAAAGGAGAUGUCACUUCAACUUCAUCAGAUUCAGAGUCGGAGCAAAGCCUGGAGGACUUUGAAAAGCAACUAGCACUUCUUACAAAGAAGUUUCGUCGGAACUUUAGAAAGAAGGUUCCUCCCAAGUCUACUUCUUCCAAGACAAACAAAUCUAAAGGGGGUUCGUCUUCUUCCUCCUCAUCAAAAUACAGAAAAUCUGAUAACUCUCAAAAGGACUCCACAAAAGAGAAGAAAAGCGGUGAAGGUCAAAUUCAAUGCUACAAGUGUAGAGGCUUUGGUUAUAUCGCAUCUGACUGUCCUAAUAAAAAGUCGUUGAAGAAGAAAGCGAUGCAAGCUAUCACUUGGGACGACUCCUCAUCUGACGAUUCCACUUCGAGUGAAGAGGAUGUAAAUGCCACGACACUAAUUGCACAGGAUUCAACUCUUAUGUGUUUAGCAUCUGCUGACUCGAUCUCCAUAACAUCUAUACAAGAGAAGUCAUCUUCGGAGAACUCAUCGGAUGAAGAAUCGGAUGAAGAUGACAUGGUCGCAGCAUAUCAACAAUUGGUUGUUGAAUUAAAGAAGAUGGCUAAACAUAACAAGAGACUGCGGCGAAGCCUACAUGAGUUGGAACAAGAAAAUUCAAAAUUGGUCUCUUUAACAAAGGAUUUAGAACAAGAGAGAGAUAGCUUGACGAAGGCCAUAAUUCCUUGAUCGAGAAGUGCUCAUUACUUGAAAAGGAAAAAGAGACACAAGUGGAGAAUAUCACUUUUCUCACCAAGCAAUACUCAGAAGCUAGAGAAGCAAAUAUGGAAUUCACCAAGACGAUUAUUCAACUAAAGUCAGAUUUGAACCAAUUUUCGUUUGGAUCAAGUAAACUCGACAAGAUGCUUGGACUUGGUCAAACAAACAAACUUGGACUUCGGUACGAACGGACCUAUGUUGACCAAGCAACAAAGAAAGAUGGCGGACAUUCUUCAACUGCUGUUCCUAAGCUCUAUGGUAAGUUCGUUCCUCCUCAAAAUAAUCUGACUAACAAAGCGUGUCAUAUUUGUGGUGCUUUAGGACACAUAAAGAAGUUCUGCAAACAAAAGGGAAAGAGCUCAUCAACACCCUUGAAUCAAAGAACAUCACUUAUGAAGAAUGAUCUUAAAUCAAGAGGGAAGUCAACUUGGACUCCAAAGAAGGUUGAUUAUAAGAAGAAACGAACAUGGACACCAAAUACUCCGGAAUCAAAGGCAAAACAGGCGUGGAAACCAAAGAAGGAGGAUAUGAAGAAGAAGUCAAUUCAAAUCGUCGACAAGCCACGAUCAACAAAAGCAAGCGAACUGACACAGCCCAAAACAUGUAAGGUUUGGGUGCGCAAAGGUGAACUCUUCCCAUGCCUAGUCAUUCAUACUUCGUUUCAUGCUUACGAUAACUCAUCAUGGUAUCUGGAUAGUGGCUGUUCCCGUCACAUGACCGGAGAUAAAAAUUGGUUUACUUCUUUGACCAAAAUCUCCGGAGGACUUGUUGUUUUUGGGGACGGUCGAUCGUCAAAAAUUGUUGGAAAAGGAACAGUGACUAUUUCAGAUGGCCCUACGUUGAACGAUGUCUUUUAUGUUGAGGAGCUCAAAUCUAAUCUCGUAAGCAUAAGCCAACUGUGUGAUGAUGGGUAUUCUGUGAAUUUUUCUGAUAAAGAAUGCCAUGUGACUCGUGAUGAAAAUCUGUUUUUAAAGGGCAUUAGAUCUCAGAAUAAUUGUUAUGUAGUUCCUAGCUCGUCCACUGAACAUUGUAACCUAGCGUCAUUAGAAACUGAAACUUUAUGGCAUGAACGACUAGGUCACAUAAACUUUAAGGAGCUAUCAAAAGAUAACAAGAGGACGGUAGUAGAGGUGUACCUAGAUUUGAUUUUAAGAGAACACUGUGUGUGGGGGUUGCAAUUGGGAAACAACUAGAAUACUUCUAUGAAAGAACUUGAACCACUUGGGACAAAUUAAGUCUUUAAUACUUAACAUGGACUUGAUGUGCACAUCUAGGAUUUCAAGUUGGGUGAGGAAACGCUUAUAUCUUAAUAUUGUUGAUGAUUUUACCGUUUUGUAUGGGAGGCCUUUCAUCAGAAAAAGCUUGAUACUUUUAAUUCUUGUUUCUGAAUCUAGUCUCCGUUUAUGAUGAACGAAAUGAUAAAUUGAUACGUAUUCGACGAUCAGGGGGAAUUCAUAAGAUUCUAUUUGUUGAUUUUUGUGUUUCAAAUGGUAUUAAAAAAUGAAUUUCCGCGUCCCUAUACCCAAACAAAAGGGAUGUGUUGAACGCAAGAUGAUUGUACGAGAUGUUGGUUUGCUUCUAGUAGAAAUUGCUUACAAUUUUUGGGCCGAAGCAGUUAACAGUCUGUCUAUGUUUCAAUCGGAGUUUAGUAUGUCGCACUUUGAUUAGCCUUAUGAUUUGCUUUUGGUAUGGAAACUAACAUUAAAAUACUUUUCGUGUCUUCGGGAGUAAAUGUUUUAUCCUUCGGGGCUGUGAAAUUUGAAAAAUUGACUCUCGCAAAGUUACGAGGCAUAUUUCUUGGUUAUUCUACUACAGUGUGAUUAUGUGUUACAAUUACGAUCUAAGACGGUGAUAGGUCUAUCAAUAUAAGUAGAUGAAGCUUGUCGUGAGUCUUCUGUGAAUGGUUUCUAAAUCUUGAUGAUGUGAUGAUAAUGAAUCUCGUUUGUAUUGCAUGUGAAUGUGUGUUUUACCUGUGAAUUCAUUUUCUUCUGAAAAAUAUUAAAUCAAAUAAUUAUUCUGAGCCACAAAACCACGUUGAAUUCCUUAGCAUAUUUCCUGGAGAUUACCCCUGCGGGGUCAAGAGAUCAUUCCUUGUUAUCAAAUUGUGAUUGGGAUUCUAAUGUUGUGUGUGCGGACAGAAGUCAUACAAUUGUGGAAUUUGCUGUUUAUGUAUUCUGUUGAUCGAGCAAAGAAUGUCGACGAAGUCUUGGGGAUGAAUAUUGGAUAAAUCCAUGCAAAGAAAGAUUUUGGUCAAUUUUUCGCAAUGAUGUAUGGGAAUGGGGUGCCUCGUACUGAGCACAAUAACAUUUUUAGGUCAAAUUGGGACUUUAAGAUAAGAGAAAUGAGGAUGGUACUAUUGAUGCGGAACAAAGCAUAGACUUGUGGCUCAGGUAUACAAUUGAGGAAUAGUUUUGAUGAAACUUUGCUUCUGGUUGCCGUUUGAAUCUAUUCGUAUUUGUUCGCAAUUGCUUGCAAUUUAAAUCACGCUCUUUCAAGGAUGUCAAAAGUGCCGUUUCUAAAUGGAUUUUUAAAAGAGAAAGUUUAUGUUGAACAACGAAGUGGUUUUAUUGAUCUAAAAUUUUAAAAAUCAUUGUUUUUCGAUUGAAAAUAUGCACUUUUAUGGUUACUAAAACAAGCUCCGCAGCUGGACGUGUUGAGAAAGAUCUUUUGAAAAGGGCUAUAUGAGGGGGAGCGGAUAGAACUUUUUGUAAAACUGAAGGAUAUUUCAUAUAGUGGCAGCAAUAUUGUAGAUGACAUAGUUUUUGGGCGGCUACUAAGACAGGAUGCGUGAUUUUGCAAAGUUUAAUGACCUAUGCGGUUUGAUGGCGGUUUGAGAUUGUCGAUCGAUGGGGGAGCUUAAUUAUUCCUUGGACUCAAGUUAAACAUCAAAAGAUUUUGGAAUUAUCUGUCAGACAAAGUUAUGCAAGGAACUGUUUAAGAGAUUUGAUUGAAAAUGCGAAAGGAUUUGACACGUCUAUGAGUACAAGACAAAGGGAUGAGAUUGAAUCAGCAAUAUCAGAGUGUGGAUGAGAACACAAUACAGAAGCCAUGAUUUGGUAGCCUAUUGUUAUUGACUGUGAGUUCAGAGCCAGAUAUUAGGUUUAGUUUGAAUUUGUGUGGUUAUCAGGUAACCUUAAGGAGAGUACAUCUGAAGCAGUUAAAGGAUCAUUCGGUAUGUUAAAGGAACCACAGUAUGGCUCUGGUUCCUUGGGAACCUCUCUUGACCUAAUCGCUACUUCGAUUAUGCUGACUGGAGGUAGGAUCGCGAGGAUAUCGGAACAGUACUAGUGAGCUGGUUUUUCAUUGGACAUUGUUGGUCGCUUGGAAGUAAGAAACAAAUUGUAUUGCUAUUUCGACGUGCAGAAGGAAUACGUAACUUGUGGCUGGGGAGUUGCUCUACUCAAUUAAUUUGGAUGAAAAGCUUACUGAGCGACUAUCGGAUUCCUUCUACCACUCUUACUAUUCUGUGUGACAACACGAGUGCAAUUAAUAUUUCUAAAAACCCUGUUUUACAUUCUCGAACAAAACAUAUUGAACUAAGAUAUCAUUUUUUAAGAGAACUGGUUGAAUCACACAUCUUACAACUUGAAUAUAUUUCGACUGAAAAUCAACUUACAGAUAUGUUAACCAAACCUUUGGAUCAAAAACGUUUUCUGCAUUUAAGAAAGGCAAUUGGUAUGAACCCUUCAAUCUAGAUAUAUACUAGUGGGUCAUAGGUCAUGUGCAUGUUGCAUUUUUGAUUUUCGGUGGUUGUGAGUUGGUUGAAUUUCCUGCAUAAUGUUGCUGUUUUGAGAGAUGAGUUGAUCUGUGAUUUUAAGUAUUUCAUUUUUAAUUUUUGAUUGAUCACUGUCAGGGUUAUUCUCUAUUGACAUAUUUUUGAACGAUCAAAUCUUUGAAAUUCUGUUUAGCAUAUUGAAUCAAAUUCAACACCUCAUGCUUUGAAAUUUGAAUGUUGGAAUUGUUUGUUUGAUUAUUAGUUUUGAGAUAAAUAAAUCUUUCUCUAUUUUUGAAAUAGCUAUAAUAUUUUUGACUUGAGGGUUGCACUAAUUUAGGAGGAGUCUUUCCAAUUUUAGCUAUGAAAAUUUCUGAAAUUCAAGAUGUGGAAAGAGUUACAUCCCUGCUGGGAGUGUGUAAACUAUCACCACAUGGAGGAAAGAGCUACCACCCCGGUCGUCCGGUUAGUGUGUGCAGCUACCACAUGUUGAUUAAAGUAUCUAUGUAAGACAAAAGGAAAGUACCUUUCAGAAAGAGAAAAAUGUAAGAAUAAUAUGCUCAAAGAGCUAUACAUCUUGUAGGUGAUAUAAGGUGGAAUGUUACUAAAAGAUGCUCAAAGAGCCACUCCUGUCUCGAAUAAUGUGCAUAACUCAAUUUGAUCAUGUUAUGUUAAUUUCACGAUUAUGAGAAUUAUUUAUUCAUUUUCUUUAACAAAAUAUGAUGGUAAAAUGAUACAAUAUAUUCCUAGAUCUUGCAUGAUGUGUGGGAUUUUAUUUUAUAUGUAUCGAGAAUUCUCAUUGAUUUUCGGGUCAAAAAUUUUGAAAUUUUGAAUAUCCCUGAAAUUGAUUUUUCAAAAUUCAUUUAUGAAAUUUUAUUUAAAUUUUUUUGUGGAUGGAAAUAGGUUAUUUGUGGUGAUUGCGCAUUAUGGAAUACCCUUACAUUUUUUUUUUUUGGAAUUUUCGGGCUACAUUUAGAAUAUUUUAAAAUUUCCAGGCUCUGGGACCGGUCCCAGGCAAGAGAGACCGGUCCCUCCGCCAGACCCGAUAAAGGGGUUUAUGCGUAGGGUUCUUUGUACUGUUUCCAAAACUUGAGCUUUUCAUUUCCAGAGUUCUCCCCUGCUUCUCUCUUGUCCUUAGAGUGGGAUUGCUCUCGAUCUUUCUUGGUUUGCAUUGAUUAUAGGUAAGAUUUCGGAUUUUGUUGCUUUUAGUUGAUAUAUUCCGAAAUUAGGUUUUAUUUCAGAUUUUUUGGUGUUUGUUCUAGAGAUCUUGAUGAAUGUGUUCUUUUAGGCUUCGAUCUUGUUUUUAGAUCCGUUAUUUUCAUUUUCUGUAGUAUUUCUUCAUCUUUUUGGUUCAUUUUGUAGGUUUAUCAUGAUCAAAAAUUUGAUUUUCAAUUUUUUUUGUGGGAAAUUGCUUUUGGCUGAUUUUGGUGCAUGAGUGGUUCUUGUUUUUCAUGAUCUUGAGGCCCCUAGGAUCAUCUAGUUUUUAUAUACCAACUUGCUAAACAUGUUUGGAAUUUUUUAGAAAAAUUUGUUUUUAUAGAUGUAAAUUUCAUUAUGUUUAACAGGUGAUUUUCGAAAAUGUACUCGUGGCUUCUUGUGCUUGUUGUUCUUAUGGCUGGCGGUGGUCGUGGAAGCAAACGACAGCGCUCUAAAGCUAAACGGCCGAUUGAGUAUCAACCGGAAGAUGAAGAGAGCGAAUAUGCUCCUGGCGACGACUCUGAGGAGGAUGAGCCGGAUUGGGAGGCCUUUGUUCCCGAGGUAUUAGCUAAGGAUAAGGAUGCUGGGAAAGGCAAGGGAAAAGGAAAAGCAGUGGAUAAAGGCAAAGGAAAGGUGACUGAACGUCCUGGUCGUCGCAAGUACGGCGGUGUUGAAAUUCGAGAACCGGGUUCUGAGCCACCACGUCAUAGUCUACAGGAUGUUCCAUCUGCUCGACGGUCAAUGUACUCGUCGAAACACUGCAUUGGUGAGCGAGAUGUUGGGGUGGCCAGUAUCAUUAGUUGUGUGCCGGGUUUUCAGGAUUUAUUUGAACACGAAAAUCUUCAUCAGAUUUGUGAUUUCCCGGAACAAACCGGUUUUUGUUUGGAGUUGAUCAGAGAAUUUUAUAUGAGAGCAGGUCACCUAAGUGACUCCGACGGCGGCCCGUACGUAUUUAAGACGUCCGUACGUGGUGUUGAGUUAUCCAUCACUCCUGAUACGAUAGCAUCGGUGCUAGGUAUGGAAGCAAAGACUGACGGAGUGGAGUAUCUGCAAGCUGGGUUCGACUCACUUCGCGAUUGGAAUCGUGUAGUGAGCACUAUUUGCAUGUCGGGUUCCGAGUCGAACGGCAUUAUGGUUAUGUCCAAAGAUUUCAAAAUGGAGUAUCGUUUCUUAAACUUCGUGGUUUGCUACAACAUUCUGCCUCUCGCAAACACGAAGAUUCUGAGGUGGGAUCGUAUUCUGUAUAUGUAUCUUUUGGGACGGCCAGAUAUUGUGAGUGAAAAAAAUAUUAACACGAAUAUUCCGUUUCUGAUCCGGCGGAGGAUGGCAAAAGACAUCAAAACUUCUGGACAAAAUGAAAGGCUGCCAUUUCCAUUGAUAAUCAUGAGGAUUCUGCGACUUUGUGAUGUGGAUGUCCGGUGUACAUCUUAUGAGCACAGUUUGGGUCGGAUAAAUGAACGGACAUUUGUGAAGUCCUCGGUGCAGCUUCGUACACCGUCUCAGCGUGCUUCUUCCCCUCCUGCUGCUCCACCUCCUGCUACUGCUACUUCUUCACGUCCUUCUAUGGACAUUUCUGAGGAAGAUAUCUCCGUUUCCUCUGUGUAUCGUGAGCAACAACGUCUAUCUGAGGAGCUUCAGAAAUUGUCUGCGGAGCAAGCUGCGAUUCGGAAGGAUGUAAGCAAGAUGAAGCGCUUAUUGAAUAUGAUUUUUGACAAGUUAGGAUGUUGCCGAGCAGAUUUACCUCCAGGGGAUGCUUCCGAUUAGGCGUUACCGGGUUCCUUCUUUUGUCAUUUUGGCGCUUUCUGACAAAAAGAGGAAGAUGGAGAUGGUGGUUCUUGAUGAUGAUGAUGCAUUUUAGCUUAGCUUCAUGAUGAUGCUCUUGAUCUUGAUAAUGAUGUAUUUAGCUUUGAUGCAGCAUUUUGUUUAGAUGAACUUUAGAUGAACUUUGUUUAGUUAGUGCUUUAGGUGUUUGAUUAUGAACUAUGACUUGAUACUUUGUUUGAUCUUGAUACUUGAAUCUUGAUUAUGUUUUGAGAAUGUUUUUGCAGGAAUAAUUCAAGACUUCAAGACUCCAUGUCUAAGUCAUAGAGUUUGUAUUAAGAUUAUGAAAAUUGUAAUUUUCGUUUAUUGGAUCGAUCAUGCAGGAGAUUAUCGUUUGGUGAUUGCGAUAAUCUUCUUUUUAUUGUUUCUGCGUUGUGUACGAAUUUAUAGUAUAUUUUGUCACGAAAUCGCCAAAGGGGGAGAUUGUUAAGGAUUUUAUAGGUUGGCGAAUUUCGUAAAGUUGGUUGGAGUCUUGAAGAGUGGAUCGCAGAAGUUUUGAAGAAAAGAUUCAAAUUGAAGAACUAAGACUCAUUUGGAAAGCUCGACACCUAAGGUAUGAAGAAAAGAUCAUUUGUGGUGAAGAUACUUAGUUAGAAUAAGUUCAGAAGGCUUAGAUGGUUUUAAAACUACUUUACUGAACUUUUCUGUGUUCUGGGACCGGUCUCAGAGUUCAAGAGACCGGUUCCCCUAAG
This 11205-nucleotide long non-coding RNA is filed under the name Ananas comosus (pineapple). RNAcentral's name for it is "long non-coding RNA (ACOM_LNC043874)". Lineage: Eukaryota; Viridiplantae; Streptophyta; Magnoliopsida; Poales; Bromeliaceae. The record is from RNAcentral.